CCCUUAGAUGUUCUGGGCUGCACGCGUGCUACACUGAUAUUGCCAAUAUGUCAUUCUUAUCCGAAAUGGAUUGGGUAAUCAAGUAAUGAAAUUUCAUGCUUGGAAUCGGUAAUUGCAAUUUUAUCGUGAACGAGGAAUUCCUAGUAAGCACUAGUCAUCAGCUAAUGUUGAUUAUGUCCCUGCCCUUUGUACACACCGCCCGUCGCUACUACUGAUUGGGUGUUCAAGUGAGAUGCUUAGACCCUUGUUGCAUGGUUCAUUAUUGUGCUCCGAAAGGAAAAAGUUUCAAGCUUGAGUGUCUAAAGGAAGUAAAAGUCGUAACA
This 323-nucleotide ribosomal RNA is filed under the name uncultured eukaryote. RNAcentral's name for it is "partial 18S ribosomal RNA". It matches the Rfam family "Eukaryotic small subunit ribosomal RNA", at positions 1470 to 1796 of the family's 1831-position model. The record is from RNAcentral.